CGCCUGUUGACGCCUCUUAUCCUUGGUCUCUUUCUCUGAUUCCGAUCGGCGAUGGCGGCGGCGAUGGCGACUGCGGCGGCGCUGGCUUCAACUGACGUCACCUGCACUCAGUUCUCUGGGUUGCGGCGGGCGAGCUCCUCCCCCUUCUUUGUCUCUCCGCAGAUCCGCGUCUCCUCCUCCCGCAGUGCUCCCAGAGGAGUCGUUGCCAUGGCAGGAUCGGGAAAGUUUUUUGUGGGAGGCAACUGGAAGUGUAAUGGGACGAAAGACUCGAUUAGCAAACUUAUAUCUGAUCUGAAUGGUGCACACUUGGAAAAUGAUGUUGAUGUUGUGGUGGCACCUCCGUUCAUAUACAUUGAUCAGGUAAAGAAUUCAUUGACUGAUCGUAUUGGAAUUUCAGCUCAGAAUACCUGGGUUGGAAAAGGUGGAGCCUUCACUGGAGAAAUCAGUGCUGAGCAAUUGGUAGACAUUGGCUGUGAGUGGGUUAUUCUUGGGCACUCUGAACGUAGGCAUAUUAUUGGUGAAGCAGAUGAGUUCAUAGGCAAGAAAGCUGCAUAUGCGUUGAGCCAGAAUCUUAAAGUUAUUGCCUGCAUAGGAGAAAAAUUAGAAGAAAGAGAAGCAGGGAAAACUUUUGAUGUCUGUUUCCAG
This 645-nucleotide unclassified non-coding RNA is filed under the name Hevea brasiliensis (rubber tree). The record is from RNAcentral. Lineage: Eukaryota; Viridiplantae; Streptophyta; Magnoliopsida; Malpighiales; Euphorbiaceae.